GCAGAUGACAGUAUGAAUGGCAUCCCCUACAGCUUUACCAUCUCAUGUACCCUGCUUGGCCCUGACAGUUGACUUCUUUUUAAAAAAAAUUUUUUAGGAGUUCCUGUCGUGGCACAGUGGUUAACGAAUCUGACUAUUACCAUGAGCGAGGCCAGGGAUUGAACCUGCAACCUCAUGAUUCCUAGUCAGAUUUGUUUCCACUGCACCACAACGAGAACUCUUGAUUUGCUUUAUCUUUGAACUUAGCACUGAUGGUGUGCUGAUUUUCUGGUGUCAGCUUUUAUCUGAUCUAGGUUAUAGGCUUUAAGGAAAUGAGAGAAAGCAAACCAGAUUAAUAUCCAGGUGAUCCUGCUUUACAUUCUCCCAGAUCUCAGCCUUUUCUGUUAUAUGAUGAAUUCUUUGAAGAGGACAUCAUCUCUUUGAGAAAGAGUCCCCUUGGCCCAGGAGCGGUGCCUCCCUAACCAGGCUGUUCCGUCUGAUCAUAGGCUCUAUUCCGUCAGUCUGAGGAGGCUCUAGCCAAGGAAGCCUUGCAGGAAGCCUUCACUAUUGCCUUGCUGCUCUAGUGAUUCUGUUAAGGAACGAGUUAAGUCUGACAGGAGAUGUCCUUGGUGGCUAUAUUAGUUUCUUAGGGUGGUUGUAGCAGAGUAUCAGAGUGGUGAUUUAACUGAAUAGAAAUGUUUUUCUCUUAUAGUUCUGGAGGCUAGAAGUCCAAAAUCAAGGUGUUCUGUAAGGCCAUACUCUCUUUGAAAGUUCUAGGGAAGAAUCCUUCCAUCCUUCUUCCCAGCUUCAGGUGCUUGUCAGCAAUCCUUGGUGUUCCUUGGCUUGUAGAUGCAUCACUGCAAUCUCUGCCUCCAUCUUCACAGGACCUUCUUCCCCGUGUGUCUCUGCAUCUCUUUUCUCUUCUUAUAAAGACAUUGGUCAUUGAAUUAAGGCCCACCCUGGUUUAGUAUGACUUUGUCUUAACUAAUUAUAUUUCUGAAGACCCUAUUUCCAAAUAAGGUCACAUAGAUGGACAUUAAUUGAGUGGGGGAGGAGGGGGCACUGUUCAACUGUAUAGCAGGCUGUCUGGGCUCCUAGUGCUCAAAUCAGCCCUGGUAUCAUUCUCCUAGAGUCUCUCCUGGGUGCCACCGCAGGUCUGUACUCUAGAAUUAGCUUCCUUUCUCUCUUUAGAAACUGGAGCUAUAGGAUGCUUGAUACUAAUCUCUUGACUUCUCUCCUGCUCUAUAGAAGUCAUUAAAGACCAUUAAAAUGGGUCUGGUCGUUCAAUGGCAAGUUCCCUUAGUGCCCCAAAUUCAUCCCAGGCAGGAAAGGUGCCUCGUUUAGGUAGCCAACUGCUGUCUUGCAUCUUCUUGGCCCACCUUGGCUUUCUGUUUAUCAACAGAUAGUUAUCGAGGGCUUUCUGUUUGCUGGGAAUGUGUUAGCCCUGUAGAUAAUGUGUGAACUGGAGUAACAAUCAACUUGUUUCUGUGGAGGUCACAGACUCUAAAGAAGUAGACAUAUAGAUACGUAAUGAAGCAGUGAUAAGCUGUGUGAAAGCAAAGAGUCCUAGGUGGGAGGAAGAUGGUGUUUUAGAUAGGGAAAGGAGGGAUUCUUUCCCUUCCCUGUGAUGGUCAAUACUUAGCAGAAGAUUGGAGUCUGGACCGUGGGAUUCACAAGCCAGUGGCUCCAGCUCCAGGCUCGGCUGUAGGGCAGCUAAACCUAUACCUCCUGACAGCCGGCUAGAGCCUCCACUCUUGUCCCAGAUGCCACCAGCAUUAACUGGUCCUGAGGCAGGACCUAUUCUGAACAUGACUCUGACCAUGAGAAUUAUCCUAGAUGAGGCUACCCGGUGCUUUUAAACCUUUUAAAGCAUAGGAGGGCAGCAUGGUGAGGAGGAAAGAGGUUGGCUUUGGGCAACAAGUUAACGUGGCUGUGUGACCUUUUACAAGUAAUUUAACUUCCCUGAGCUUCCGUCUCCCCUCUAGAAAGUGGGGAUACUGCCCCCACCAUAUAGCGCCAUGGUGAUGAUUCGGUGAAGUAAAACUGUGUCAUAUAACUCAUGUUUACAAACUACUAGCUCAAAUUCCAUGCACUUGUAAAUAAAGACCCCAUGAGACAGGCAUAGCCUAUUGACCAGAGAAGCUUCUGAAAUCUUUCAAUGGCACAGAAGGGGUGCUAAACAAAAGUUUGUGGACAGAUGGGGCAAGGGAGGCAAAGGGCUGCUUGUUUGUGGAGUGUCCAGGGGAACUAUGAGUCCUCUCCUCCCUCUGGCCUCCAAAGUAUCGUGUCCCCUGCUCCUCCUCUUCCUUAUAGAACUAUAGGGAUUCUGGGAGUCUGGAGAAGGUCUGCUUGAAUGGGUUUGGUGGUGCAGAAGCUGCCUCUGAAUAUCUUUGCCAUGCGUGGGACUCAAUCUGUUGGAAAUUACAGGGUGCAGAGAAUGACUUCGCAGAAAAUAAUUGGAUUUCCCCUAAACAAACAGGGCAGUUUUAAGUGAGAAACCAGGGCCCGGUUGAGUUUUGUCACAGGGGUUGCUCUUGAGACCUGUGUUCCCACAUGUUGACACAUGCCCACUCCUGGGGCGUUGCUGUCAUGUUCUGAUUCUUCUGAGCACUGGAGCAUGGAUUAAGCUGGGGUUGCUGAAGAUAAGAACCCUGUUCUUAGCAAAUAUUUACACCAUGUCAGAAAAUGCUCACAAGUUAGAUCUGAUAAAAGAGGCCCCUACAGCCUGCUAGCUGCCAGAAAGGGUAGGGUCCCUGGCAUUGUCACUGGUGUGGAGAGCAGUGGUAGGCAGGGGAUUGGACAUGAUGUAUAUAGACAGUCGGUGGGCUCUGCCCUUGCUCUUUGCCCUUCCCUGGGCAUCCAGGGCCCCCCUUGGGGUCCUUAGCAGGACUCAUCAUUAGGAAUCUUAGUUCAAAUCCUACUGGCCUCUUAGCAUCUUUGAGUCUCAGUUUCUGUAUCUGUAAAAUAGCAAUAAUGAUAUAAAUGUCAUGGGCUUUUGGUAGGAUUUAAUGGGACUGUGAUUUCAAAGUGCUAACUAUUGCCUUUGGAAUGGAUUAGCAAUAAGAUCCUGCUGUGUAGCGCUGGGAACUAUGUCUGGUCACUUAUGAUGGAGCAUGAUAAUGUGAGAAAAUAGAAUGUGUACUUGUAUUUUUAACUGGGUCACCAUGCUGUACAGUAGCAAAAAAAUUGUAUUGGGGCAGAGAGAUGAGCCUGGGCUGAGAGCGACAGUAUCAGUACCACCAGAGGGGUGGUGCCCAGGAGGCUCCAUCCCCUGGCCCUUCACAGGUGGACUCAUUCGCGGUUAUGAAUUGCUGAGUAGGGGCCAACAGUACAGAGGGAGAGAGGUAAUCAAUGUAUAAUUACUAAAGGCUCAGGCAGGACAGAGCCAGGAAGCUUCUGUGUCAUGUGCUGCAAAUUCAGUGCUCCCUUAGGGCUGUGCCCUUGCAUUUUCUAGGAGUUAAGUGGAUUUCUGGGCCACCUUGCAAACCUGCAAUCCGGGGUGUGGCAGGCAACCUCGGCACCCAGCAGUGAGCGACUGACUGCAGCUCAGCACAAAGUGAAACUGAGAAGGAGGACUGCUUAAUAGGGCUUAGGAGGGGGCAGCUAGGGAUGGUGUGAGGGUGCUUGGUUCCCCUCAGUCCUUUCCAUGUUUCUCCCUUCUGCUUAGGGCCUUCCAUGGGUCUCUCUCAAUUCUCCUUACAGUGAGUUUCAAAGGCAUUUCCCAUCCCUGAGCUUUCCUUCCUGUCCCCUCUGUGGAUUUCCUCUGGCCUAUGGGACUCUGGGAGAGUAUGGUGGCAGCUCUGGCUCCAUCCAUGCCCUGGGGCUGUGGAGGUAGACUUUAGAGGGGCAGCCCUGCUGGCUGGAGACUGUCUUGAUUCCAGUGGAGGUUGGCUUUGAGUGCUGAUCAGGAAGGUGAAUAUACACAGAUGGGGCCAUGAUGAGAUUCAGGCAGCAGCAGGAAAGUCUGCUCAGGGCCUCAGUGCCAGCCCUGGCUGGGGCAUAGGAGGAGGACCCCAAUAUGGGGACGGGAAGAAGUGUGAUAACGGGGAACCAGUCAGAACCUUAGGGUAGCAGCUCUCAAAUUUAAGAAUCUCUCAGAAUCCCAUGGAGAGCUUGUUAAAAUGCAGAUGUCUGCUCCCCAGUGCCUAGACUUUGUGAUUCAGUAGGUGUGGAAUGGGUGGGGCCACAGAAUUUGCAUAUCUAGCAGGAUCCCAGGGGAUGCAGGGGUUAACAGCUUGAGAACCACUGGUCUAGACCAAAGUAGAAGUAGAAGUAGGUAAAGCAUAGAGCUGUGACUGGGGGGUAAACCCAGGUACCUAGAGCUGUCCAGGGCUUUGGAUUGGUAAUGAUGCCUGCUCCAGGGACCCUUUGGAUGGGAAACUGUGGCUCCUGGAAAACCACUGAUCUCAGUCUGGAGUGGCUCAGGAAUGUGGGUGCAGCAUCAGAGACUGGGCAUGGGGGACAGAGGCGUGGAGAUGAGGUGAGGCUGGUGCUUGGUUAUUUAAUUAAGAAGGCUUUUAUCUUCCCUGAGAAAAGCCUGCAGCAUCCUGUGGAAGCUAGAGUGUUGGGCCAGCCUCUGGCCAAAGACAGGUUCUUUAAGGCAGGGUGAGGGGUCUCUGGGAAUUACUCUGUGCUUAGCAAGGUCUCAUCUCCCUCCUGGUCUGUCCACAAUAAGCCUCUCCCUAUUCAGCCCCUACUGGGAGCCAGGCUUCAGGCUGGGCCUAAAAUGCUUCCUCACAUUUCAUCCCAACUUUGAGGCUCUUUGAAGUUAUGUAACUUGCCCCAGGCCUCACAGCCUCUAGGAAGCUAGCUGGGAUUUGAACAACAUGCAUAUGCUGUUUUUACGGAUUCAGCAGUCAUUUACUCAUACCUGCUCUCCACCAGGCCCUGAACGGGGCCCAAGGAUGCCGGGGUGGAUGAACAGCCUGCCCUCUAGAAGCCUCUGGCCUCUCGGAGGUGAUGGAAACAUGAAUAUAUGUGAAUACAACAUGGUGACUACUACUUUGAGAGUUUGUUUGGAGGUUCUAGCAGGAGAGUGCAGGUACUUGUAUACCCUCGACCAAAGAACAGUCCUCCUCUAUUGGGGGUGGUCGUCCUUUUCCACCGAGCACGCACUCUCGGGAGGGGCACACAUGGGGCGGUGAGGGAGGAAGGGGACACCCGCCUAGCCAGCCAGAUCUGCCGUAUCAACCCUGGCGAUCAGUGGGGUGACAGAUGUCACAGCCAAAUCGCCCUCAUAUCCAGUGACUGAACCCAGAGUUAUGGGGACCAGUGAGGGGAUGACUAACCUUCUUAGGGUCCUAGGCUCCUUGCCACAGUCUGGCCUGGCAGGCGAGUGAGGCAAGUGCCUACAACUCUCCCGUGACGCAGCUCACUGCCCGGAACCCCUCGGUCAGAGGAUAAAGGCCUGGCUUCCUGCUUUCUGGGAGAAGAAAGGAGCCUACCAAUGGCCCUGACUGCUUUCUCUUUUCCCUUCUUUUGGUGAGUGCAUGUGUAAUAUGUCACUUCCCUUUAAAAAUGUUCUUAAUCCAGUCCAGGAAAUGAGCAGUCAUCUCAUCUGGGCUGCUCUCCUGGUAAUGAUAUGCACCAACUUUUCCAAAGCCUCAGCCUGCUCUUUUCUUCCCGGGAGUGGGGUGGGUGGGGGGAUGAACUGUAGUGGUACAAGGCCACUGCACCCUUUUUCUAAGGAGGCCAAAGAGAUCUAAGUCUUAGAAAUUUCCAGGCUUGAGGAAUCUUUGUGUGGCCAGACCUCAGUGAUGAUUGAUCUCUGGCCCUGGUGAAUCCAGCGGUGGAAGGCAAGGUGCAUCGCCAAGGCAGUAAUCCUGAAGCCAUCUUGUCCCCUUUCCCCAGAUUGGGCUGAAGGUACACUUGGUUCUCUGACAGACUCUGUUGCAUAAGAAAAAAAAAAUCAUCUUUGGCCCACAUAUAAAUAGACGGCAACUUUAUUUAGUUUACUUUUCCUCAGAGAGAAAUAUAUAGUGUUGAGCUGACCCAUUUAAAAAAGUUUAUUACUCUUUAUAUAAAUAAAAAGAAUUUGUUGCAAAGCAUUUGAAAAAGAUUUUUGGUAUCUUUCCUUUUAGGCUUAAAAAAAAAUCCUGUAUGGAGUUUUGUUUUUAUGUCUGUAGCUGGAUCACGCACUAAAAUGUGACUGCUUCAGAGAAAUGUUCCCUUAUCCACCAGGAAAGGUUAAAUUCAACCAACUUAGAUCCUCACUAUAUACUAUUCAUUCUCUCCACGGCACUUAUCACAAUUAAUAAUAAUGCUUUCUAUCUUUAGCCAACUAUUUGCUUAUUUGUCUGACUUCUGCAGACCUUCAGUCUUCAAGAUGGCAGCCACUAGCCACAUGUGGCUAUUUAAAUUUAAGCAAAAUUAGGGAGUUCUCGCCAUGGCUCAGUGGUUAGCAAAUCCGACUAGGAACCAUGAGGUUGUGGGUUCGAUCCCUGGCCUUGCUCAGUGAGUUAAGGAUCCAGCGUUGCCGUGAGCUGUGGUGUAGGUUACAGACAAGGCUCGGAUCCCAUGUUGCUGUGGCUCUGGCGUAGGCUGGCAGCUACAGCUCUGAUUUGACCCCUAGCCUGGGAACCUCCAUAUGCUGCAGGAAUGGCCCAAGAAAUGGCAAGAGGACAAAAAAAAAAUAAUAAUUAAAAAAAUAAAUUUAAGUAAAAUUAAGAAUUUGUGUUCCCAUUGUGGCUCAGCGGCACAAACCUGACUAGUAUCUGUGAGGAUGAGGUUUGAUCCCUGCCCUUGCUCAGUGGGUUAAGGAGUUGGCAUUGCCGUGAGCUAUGGUGUAGGUCACAGACACAGCUCAGAUAUGGCAUUGCUGUGGCUGAGGCAUAAGCCUGCAGCUGAAGCUCUGAUUCAACCCCUAGCCUAGAAACAUCCAUAUGCCUCUGGUGUGGCCCUAAAAAGCAAAAACAAACAAAAAGAAUUUGUGAAUCACUGUGUUGUAUACCUGUUACAGAAUAUUGAACAUCCAUCAUAUCUCAGUAAAAAAGUUAAAAA
Molecule: long non-coding RNA, 6978 nt
Filed under: Sus scrofa (pig)
Lineage: Eukaryota; Metazoa; Chordata; Mammalia; Artiodactyla; Suidae
Description: lncRNA (ENSSSCG00050008881.1)
Source: RNAcentral